UACGUAGGGCGCAAGCGUUGUCCGGAAUUAUUGGGCGUAAAGAGCUCGUAGGCGGCUUGUCACGUCGGGUGUGAAAGCCCGGGGCUUAACCCCGGGUCUGCAUUCGAUACGGGCUAGCUAGAGUGUGGUAGGGGAGAUCGGAAUUCCUGGUGUAGCGGUGAAAUGCGCAGAUAUCAGGAGGAACACCGGUGGCGAAGGCGGCUAUCUGGACAGAGUCUGACGCUGAGGCGCGAAAGCUAGGGGAGCAAACAGG
Molecule: ribosomal RNA, 253 nt
Filed under: uncultured bacterium
Lineage: Bacteria
Description: partial 16S ribosomal RNA
Rfam family: Bacterial small subunit ribosomal RNA
Source: RNAcentral